Molecule: microRNA precursor, 62 nt
Filed under: Gallus gallus (chicken)
Lineage: Eukaryota; Metazoa; Chordata; Aves; Galliformes; Phasianidae
Description: microRNA gga-mir-1599 precursor
Source: miRBase by way of RNAcentral
CUGGUUCUUUUUUCUUUCACUUCCAUUCAGAAAUGAAUAGGGGAGGGAGGAAAAAAAAAAAG